UAAUUAGAAUUAACAUAGUAUAGAAAAAUUCAAUACCGCUGUAAGUUAAGGUAGGCUUUUUAACUAGUAGGCAUUUGAUUUUUGCAUUGUAAUUAAUAGGACUGACAUUAUUAAUUGUACACAUUUGCAUAACACGUUUAUAUUGGAGGGUCAAAAAAAAAAAACCAGUUUAUACCAACAUUUGUUUCGCGGUCUAACAAACAUUCUGUAUACAAAAUUUGGUUUUAUAUAUUUCGGAAUUUUCGCAUAUUUAAGGCUUAUUCUAGGAUUUUGUACAUU
This is a non-coding RNA of Cinara cedri, 279 nucleotides long. The record is from the annotation of a GenBank genome assembly. Lineage: Eukaryota; Metazoa; Arthropoda; Insecta; Hemiptera; Aphididae.